CGAAAGUUAGAGGUUCGAAGGCGAUCAGAUACCGCCCUAGUUCUAACCAUAAACGAUGCCAGCCAGCGAUCCGGCUGUGUUCCUCAAAUGACACGCCGGGCAGCUUCCGGGAAACCAAAGCUUUUGGGUUCCGGGGGAAGUAUGGUUGCAAAGCUGAAACUUAAAGGAAUUGACGGAGGGGCACCACCAGACGUGGAUGUUGCGGUUCAAUUUGACUCAACGCAGCAAAUCCUACCAGGCCAGGACACAGGAAGGAUUGACAGAUUGAGAGCUCUUUCUUGAUUCUGUGGGUGGUGGUGCAUGGCCGUUCCUGGUUCGUGGAGCGAUUUGUCUUGUUUAUUCUGAUAACGGACGAGAUUCUAGCCUACUAAAUAGACGCUUCGAUCCUUCGAGUCGAGCGUUCUUCUUAGAGGGACAGGCGGUGCUUAGCCGCACGAGGCAGAGCAAUAACAGGUCUGUAAUGCCCUUAGAUGUCCUGGGCCACACGCGUCCUACAUUGAAGGAAUCAACGUGUGCUUUCCCUGUCCGAAGGGACCGGGUAACCCGUUGAACUUCCUUCGUGCUGGGGAUAGG
This 573-nucleotide ribosomal RNA is filed under the name Incestophantes kochiellus. Its description in RNAcentral is "SSU rRNA". It matches the Rfam family "Eukaryotic small subunit ribosomal RNA", at positions 984 to 1580 of the family's 1831-position model. The record is from RNAcentral. Lineage: Eukaryota; Metazoa; Arthropoda; Arachnida; Araneae; Linyphiidae.